UUUGGAUGCUGCUCCACCAACCACAAUCACCUUGUAUUAGCAGGGAGCACCCAAGUUUAAGAUGAAGCAUUCCACAAGGGCCACUUAACUUGCUAAUCCAUAAAAUGCACAGACACCAGGAGUCCUCCAGAGGGUGAAUCCUUGCAACUGCCUUCUGCUUUUUUAUCCAUCACCUCCAUACGCCCUUACAGAACACAUGAAAAAUGAUGACUUCACUGCUUUCAACAAUAAAAGAUGGAGGAGCACCGUAUAUCAGGAUUUGAAAUCUGCAUGGGUGCCAAACUUCGGGAACAGACCACUUCCCAGAAAUACAGAAGAAAGGUAGAAGCGGCACUCCAACUUAACUCAAAAAUAAAAGAAACUACACAAAGACACAAAGCAAGUGCCAGCAAUUUGUUUAUGGAAUUAUUCAUAAUUUUUUCAAGGCCUGAUCUAAUAUUAUCCCAUGGAGUCUGCAAACAGCUUGCUCU
Hyla sarda is the source of this 470-nucleotide long non-coding RNA. RefSeq lists it as uncharacterized. The record is from RefSeq and is a predicted model, not a curated record. The transcript has 3 exons. Lineage: Eukaryota; Metazoa; Chordata; Amphibia; Anura; Hylidae.